This 520-nucleotide ribosomal RNA is filed under the name uncultured bacterium. RNAcentral describes it as "bacterial SSU rRNA". It matches the Rfam family "Bacterial small subunit ribosomal RNA", at positions 777 to 1304 of the family's 1533-position model. The record is from RNAcentral.
AAUAGAUACCCAGGUAGUCCACGCCGUAAACGAUGGAUACUAGCUGUUUGAGCGCAAGUUUGAGUGGCUAAGCGAAAGUGAUAAGUAUCCCACCUGGGGAGUACGGGCGCAAGCCUGAAACUCAAAGGAAUUGACGGGGGCCCGCACAAGCGGUGGAGCAUGUGGUUUAAUUCGAUGAUACGCGAGGAACCUUACCAGGGCUUAAAUGUAGAUUGACGUAUUUGGAAACAGAUAUUUCUUCGGACAAUUUACAAGGUGCUGCAUGGUUGUCGUCAGCUCGUGCCGUGAGGUGUCAGGUUAAGUCCUAUAACGAGCGCAACCCCUGUUGUUAGUUGCCAGCGAGUAAUGUCGGGAACUCUAGCAAGACUGCCAGUGUAAACUGUGAGGAGGUGGGGAUGACGUCAAAUCAUCACGGCCCUUACGUCCUGGGCCACACACGUGCUACAAUGGCCGGUACAGAGAGCAGCCACUUAGCGAUAAGGAGCGAAUCUAUAAAGCCGGUCACAGUUCGGAUCGGAGU